Molecule: ribosomal RNA, 233 nt
Filed under: uncultured Actinomycetales bacterium
Lineage: Bacteria; Bacillati; Actinomycetota; Actinomycetes; Actinomycetales
Description: partial 16S ribosomal RNA
Rfam family: Bacterial small subunit ribosomal RNA
Source: RNAcentral
GGCGAACGGGUGAGUAACACGUGGGUGAUCUGCCCUGCACUUCGGGAUAAGCCUGGGAAACUGGGUCUAAUACCGGAUAGGAGCCAUUUUUAGUGUGAUGGUUGGAAAGUUUUUCGGUGCAGGAUGAGCUCGCGGCCUAUCAGCUUGUUGGUGGGGUAAUGGCCUACCAAGGCGGCGACGGGUAGCCGGCCUGAGAGGGUGGACGGCCACAUUGGGACUGAGAUACGGCCCAG